GCCGUGGUUCAGUGAUAGAACAUCUGCUUGGCAUGCAGAAAGUCCUAGGUUCAAUCCCUAGCAUCUUCA
This 69-nucleotide transfer RNA is filed under the name Sphaerodactylus townsendi. RNAcentral's name for it is "tRNA-Ala". It matches the Rfam family "tRNA". Rfam says of the family: Transfer RNA (tRNA) molecules are approximately 80 nucleotides in length. Lineage: Eukaryota; Metazoa; Chordata; Lepidosauria; Squamata; Sphaerodactylidae. The record is from RNAcentral.